This 334-nucleotide unclassified non-coding RNA is filed under the name soil metagenome. RNAcentral's name for it is "partial contains 5.8S ribosomal RNA, internal transcribed spacer 2, and large subunit ribosomal RNA". The stretch from base 1 to 120 matches the Rfam family "5.8S ribosomal RNA", at positions 35 to 154 of the family's 154-position model. The record is from RNAcentral.
GAUGAAGAACGUAGCGAAAUGCGAUAAGUAGUGUGAAUUGCAGAAUUCAGUGAAUCAUCGAAUCUUUGAACGCACAUUGCGCCUGCCAGCACUCUGGCAGGCAUGCCUGUUCGAGCGUCAUUUCAACCAUCAAGCCCUAGGCUUGCGUUGGAGCCCUGCGGCUGCCGCAGGCCCCUAAAAGCAGUGGCGGGCUCGCUAUCACACCGAGUGCAGUAGAUUACUCUUCGCUCAGGGCGUGUGGCGGGUUCCAGCCGUGAAACCCCCUACUUCUCAAGGUUGACCUCGGAUCAGGUAGGAAUACCCGCUGAACUUAAGCAUAUCAAUAAGCGGAGGA